UUGCAGUAAUGCAAGGCAUACGGCUCAGUAACACGUAGUCAACCUACCCUAUGGACGAGAAUAAUCUCGGGAAACUGAGCAUAAUUCUUGAUAGAUCAUAAUGCCUGGAAUGGUUUAUGGUUAAAAUGAUUCGUCGCCAUAGGAUGGGACUGCGGCCUAUCAGCUUGUUGGUGAGGUAACGGCCCACCAAGGCGAUUACAGGUACGGGCUCUGAGAGGAGAAGCCCGGAGAUGGGUACUGAGACACGGACCCAGGCCCUAUGGGGCGCAGCAGGCGAGAAAACUUUGCAACGUGCGAAAGCACGACAAGGUUAAUCCGAGUGUUUUCUGCUAAAGAAAUCUUUUGCCAGUCGUAAAACCACUGGUGAAUAAGGGGUGGGCAAGUUCUGGUGUCAGCCGUCGCGGUAAAACCAGCACCUCAAGUGGUCAGGAUGAUUAUUGGGCCUAAAGCAUCCGUAGCCGGCUUUGUAAGUUUUCGGUUAAAUCCAUGUGCUCAACGCAUGGGCUGCCGAAAAUACUGCAUAGCUAGGGAGUGGGAGAGGUAGACGGUACUCAGUAGGUAGGGGUAAAAUCCUUUGAUCUAUUGAUGACCACCUGUGGCGAAGGCGGUCUACCAGAACACGUUCGACGGUGAGGGAUGAAAGCUGGGGGAGCAAACCGGAUUA
This 664-nucleotide ribosomal RNA is filed under the name uncultured archaeon. Its description in RNAcentral is "bacterial SSU rRNA". It matches the Rfam family "Archaeal small subunit ribosomal RNA", at positions 62 to 731 of the family's 1478-position model. The record is from RNAcentral.